Molecule: ribosomal RNA, 406 nt
Filed under: uncultured bacterium
Lineage: Bacteria
Description: partial 16S ribosomal RNA
Rfam family: Bacterial small subunit ribosomal RNA
Source: RNAcentral
GAUGAACGCUAGCUACAGGCUUAACACAUGCAAGUCGCGGGACCGGCGCACGGGUGAGUAACGCGUAUCCAACCUGCCCUUCACCACGGGAUAACCCGGCGAACGUCGGACUAAUACCUUAUGGUGAAGGAUGGGGUUGCUUCCGAUUAGCUUGACGGCGGGGUAACGGCCCCCCGUGGCUACGAUCGGGAGGGGUUCUGAGAGGAAGGUCCCCCACACUGGAACUGAGACACGGUCCAGACUCCUACGGGAGGCAGCAGUGAGGAAGAUUGGUCAAUGGGCGUAAGCCUGAACCAGCCAAGUAGCGUGCAGGACGACGGCCUAUGGGUUGUAAACUGCUUUUAUGCGGGGAUAGGUACCGCAGAAGAAGCACCGGCUAACUCCGUGCCAGCAGCCGCGGUAAUUC